Prunus avium (sweet cherry) is the source of this 103-nucleotide non-coding RNA. The record is from RefSeq and is a predicted model, not a curated record. Lineage: Eukaryota; Viridiplantae; Streptophyta; Magnoliopsida; Rosales; Rosaceae.
UAUAAAAUGGAUAAGGACCGCUUAGAUGAUCCACAUGUCAAAGCCAAUCUGCUAUUUCAGGCACAUUUCUCGCAGUUAGAAUUACCAAUCAGUGAUUACGUCA